RNAcentral lists this ribosomal RNA (425 nucleotides) under uncultured cyanobacterium. Its description in RNAcentral is "bacterial SSU rRNA". It matches the Rfam family "Bacterial small subunit ribosomal RNA", at positions 356 to 795 of the family's 1533-position model. The record is from RNAcentral. Lineage: Bacteria; Bacillati; Cyanobacteriota.
GGGGAAUUUUCCGCAAUGGGCGAAAGCCUGACGGAGCAAGACCGCGUGAGGGAAGAAGGCCCUUGGGUUGUAAACCUCUUUUCUCAAGGAAGAAGAAAGUGACGGUACUUGAGGAAUAAGCAUCGGCUAACUCCGUGCCAGCAGCCGCGGUAAGACGGAGGAUGCAAGCGUUAUCCGGAAUUAUUGGGCGUAAAGGGUCCGCAGGUGGUUUCUCAAGUCGGCAGUCAAAGACCGGAGCUUAACUUCGGAAAGGCUGUGGAAACUGAGAGACUAGAGAGAGGUAGGGGUAAGGGGAAUUCCCGGUGUAGCGGUGAAAUGCGUAGAGCUCGGGAAGAACACCGGUGGCGAAAGCGCCUUACUGGACCUCAUCUGACACUCAGGGACGAAAGCUAGGGGAGCGAAAGGGAUUAGAUACCCCAGUAGUC